AAGUCAUGUUUAUCGGGAGUCUGACCUGUGUACCAUUCUUGGGGGACACUCCAUGUUUAUGUUCCAUAGGGAGUCAUUCAUGUUUAUCGGGAGUCUGACCUGUGUACCAUUCUUGGGGGACACUCCAUGUUUAUAUUCCAUAGGGAGUCAUUCAUGUUUAUCGGGAGUCUGACCUGUGUACCAUUGUUGGGGGACACUCCAUGUUUAUGUUCCAUAGGGAAUCAUGUUUAUCGGGAGUCUGACCUGUGUACCAUUCUUGGGGGACACUCCAUGUUUAUGUUCCAUAGGGAGUCAUGUUUAUCGGGAGUCUGACCUGUGUAUCAUUCUUGGGGGACACUCCAUGUUUAUGUUCCAUAGGGAGUCAUGUUUAUCGGGAGUCUGACCUGUGUACCAUUCUUCGGGGACACUCCAUGUUUAUAUUCCAUAGGG
Myotis daubentonii (Daubenton's bat) is the source of this 429-nucleotide long non-coding RNA. RefSeq lists it as uncharacterized. Lineage: Eukaryota; Metazoa; Chordata; Mammalia; Chiroptera; Vespertilionidae. The record is from RefSeq and is a predicted model, not a curated record.